AGAGCGAACGCUGGCGGCAGGCCUAACACAUGCAAGUCGAGCGCCCGUAGCAAUGCGGGAGCGGCAGACGGGAUAGUAACACGUGGGAACGCGCCCUUCGGUUCGGAAUAACUCAGGGAAACUUGAGCUAAUACCGGAUACGCCCUUACGGGGAAAGAUUUAUUGCCGAAGGAACGGCCCGCGUCCGAUUAGCUAGUUGGUGAGGUAAUGGCUCACCAAGGCGACGAUCGGUAGCUGGUCUGAGAGGAUGACCAGCAUCACUGGGACUGAGACACGGCCCAGACUCCUACGGGAGGCAGCAGUGGGGAAUAUUGGACAAUGGGCGCAAGCCUGAUCCAGCCAUGCCGCGUGGAUGAUGAAGGCCUUAGGGUUGUAAAGUCCUUUUAACGGGGAAGAUAAUGACGGUACCCGUAGAAUAAGCCCCGGCUAACUUCGCGCCAGCAGCCGC
This 448-nucleotide ribosomal RNA is filed under the name uncultured bacterium. RNAcentral describes it as "SSU rRNA". It matches the Rfam family "Bacterial small subunit ribosomal RNA", at positions 26 to 518 of the family's 1533-position model. The record is from RNAcentral.